This 239-nucleotide ribosomal RNA is filed under the name uncultured bacterium. RNAcentral's name for it is "partial 16S ribosomal RNA". It matches the Rfam family "Bacterial small subunit ribosomal RNA", at positions 524 to 762 of the family's 1533-position model. The record is from RNAcentral.
UACGAAGGGGGCUAGCGUUGUUCGGAAUUACUGGGCGUAAAGCGCACGUAGGCGGAUAUUUAAGUCAGGGGUGAAAGCCCAGGGCUCAACCCUGGAAUUGCCUUUGAUACUGGCGAUCUUGAGUACGGGAGAGGUGUGUGGAACUCCGAGUGUAGAGGUGAAAUUCGUAGAUAUUCGGAAGAACACCAGUGGCGAAGGCGACACACUGGCCCGUUACUGACGCUGAGGCGCGAAAGCGU